This is a long non-coding RNA of Drosophila nasuta, 165 nucleotides long. RefSeq lists it as uncharacterized. The record is from RefSeq and is a predicted model, not a curated record. The transcript has 2 exons. Lineage: Eukaryota; Metazoa; Arthropoda; Insecta; Diptera; Drosophilidae.
UGAAAGUCAUGUCAAAGUACCUGCCUAUAGAAAAAUCCCCUGUUCAGCUGAAAUGUUGGCAAAGUUUUGAGAUCUGAUGGAAGGUGACAAUCAAUUUAAAAAGGCAAAUCCAGCUGGUUUUGCUUGCAGAACAACGUUGAACAUGGAGGACAAAAAAAAAACAAA